Long non-coding RNA from Clarias gariepinus (North African catfish), 1269 nucleotides. RefSeq lists it as uncharacterized. The record is from RefSeq and is a predicted model, not a curated record. The transcript is spliced from 8 exons. Lineage: Eukaryota; Metazoa; Chordata; Actinopteri; Siluriformes; Clariidae.
GUCAAGUGUAUGCUAAUGUAGCCCAGCACCCAAGGUCCACAGAAAAGGUUACUGAAUCUACUCUUUUACCCAAACUUUCUCACUGACACUUUACUUUGAGACAGCAGUAGCCUGCUUCUGAUGCCUCUGGCCUGAUGCUCCUACAUCCACCACCUGUCCAGUCCAAUUCUGCAAGGCUAAAUACAUUAGACUAGACAAGCACCUGCAAAAAAUCCACAAACUUGAGAAACCUACCAUCACUCUCCAUGUAGAGAGGAUAGAUAUGUUACAAAGGAACUGGCAUUAGAGAGCUUCAAACCUGCUUUUCAAGCCAAGCCAAACCAAAUGUGUGCCUCCUUCAAAAUCUUCUAGUCAGGCCCAGAAGAGGGCGUGAGCUUGCCAGCCCAAAUUGCUUUCUCCUUGUCACUCUGCAGUCAAGACUCUUUGUGCACAUUUCACUCCAAAAAGGCCUCCCCCUAAGUCUCCCAAUGAGCCUGGCACCUCAGGUAUGCAUUUUCAUUUGUCAGCAAAAUGGCCAUAAAGCGAGCCACCCAUAUGAUCCACUUCCAGGAAUUCAUGGCAGACCCGGUUCUUUUUCUUCAAACCCCUGUAGAGUCCGCAUUUUCGUUGCACACCUUCAGGAAAGGCAGUUAAAGCCAACAACCCAGAAACUGUAUUUGCUGGAUGUAGUGGUUUUCCUGAAAUACAUCAUGAAUGUUUCACCACCAUCUGUCAGACUUGGGACUGAAGGGAUCAAUGCUCUCAUGGUGGAGUUGAGGGCUUGUCUAAGAUUUUGGGCGGGACGUAGUUGUACACCAGCUCAAAGUGCGCCGAUCAAAGUGCGAUAGACUUGUUGAUGCCGGAAAACACCAUUUGUUCAUUGAGGCGACUUCUGAAACUAUUGCUGCAGCACUUGGAUAAGACUAGACCAGCUCCACAUCUCCAACUGCAUACAUCAAUUGUUCCAGUGAUUCUGGUGACUCUAAACUCCCAAGGAUCAAAGGAUCACAGUUCGAGGCCCUACUGGUGUAAGAGCACCCUAGCUCUUUGGCUUUUUUUUUCAACCUCUCGAUGCAGGAUACCUUCGUAGGAACAGGAAGUGUCCUGGAAGGUCACUCGCAAAAUUCAUGGAACCAGUAAGGUGAAGAGGAUGAUAUUCUAUCAGCCAAGUCUCUUUAAAGCCACCUCACAAACAUCUGGAGCCCUGGGUGAAGAGGGAGGAGGAGUAAAGUUGAAGGAUGGGCAGAAGAAGCAGACAUACAAGAGGAGGUUUUAAAGAAAAGGAACCGG